AGGCGGCUAGUUUAAGAAAAACCCUUGAUUUCGGCUCAAGCACUUGUGGUCCAAGCCCGCAGCCCUCUA
Molecule: transfer RNA, 69 nt
Filed under: Laeops kitaharae
Lineage: Eukaryota; Metazoa; Chordata; Actinopteri; Pleuronectiformes; Bothidae
Also listed under: 1 other name
Description: tRNA-Arg
Source: RNAcentral